UUGACAGCCCUGGAGUCCUGUUUAUCCCCAGAGCAGGUACAGCACCGGCGAUGGCCGAAUAAGCUUCCCCCACAUCAUCCCACCAGUGCAUUCUGGGUCCUGGAGAUACUGCCGCUAGCGGCAGUGGAGUCUCUAUGGCCCAUUCAAUCCUUGGCCUCU
This 159-nucleotide small RNA is filed under the name Chelonoidis abingdonii (Abingdon island giant tortoise). RNAcentral's name for it is "TUC338 (ENSCABG00000019038.1)". Lineage: Eukaryota; Metazoa; Chordata; Testudines; Testudinidae. The record is from RNAcentral.